AUUGAACGCUGGCGGCAUGCCUUACACAUGCAAGUCGAACGGCAGCAUAGGAGCUUGCUCCUGAUGGCGAGUGGCGAACGGGUGAGUAAUAUAUCGGAACGUGCCCUAGAGUGGGGGAUAACUAGUCGAAAGACUAGCUAAUACCGCAUACGAUCUACGGAUGAAAGUGGGGGAUCGCAAGACCUCAUGCUCCUGGAGCGGCCGAUAUCUGAUUAGCUAGUUGGUGGGGUAAAAGCCUACCAAGGCGACGAUCAGUAGCUGGUCUGAGAGGACGAGCAGCCAAACUGGGACUGAGACACGGCCCAGACUCCUACGGGAGGCAGCAGUGGUGAAUUUUGGACAAUGGGGGCAACCCUGAUCCAGCAAUGCCGCGUGAGUGAAGAAGGCCUUCGGGUUGUAAAGCUCUUUUGUCAGGGAAGAAACGGUAGUAGCUAAUAUCUACUACUCAUGACGGUACCUGAAGAAUAAGCACCGGCUAACUACGUGCCAGCCGCCGCCGUAA
Molecule: ribosomal RNA, 502 nt
Filed under: uncultured bacterium
Lineage: Bacteria
Description: partial 16S ribosomal RNA
Rfam family: Bacterial small subunit ribosomal RNA
Source: RNAcentral